AAAAAAAAUUAAAAAAAUUCAUCAUUUUUAAUCUGCAAAAAAAAAAAUUAGUUAUAAUAUUAUUAUUAUUAUGGCAAUGAGUCUGCCACACCAGAUCGGUGCCUUAUCAGGAACAUCGCUCACGGCGGAAACCGGUGGAGUUUCAUGCGAAGUUCCGGCGAAGGGGAGUUCAGCUACAUCAGCUAUGUGGAGAACACCGAUGACGAAUUUAAAAGUAUCGGUGCAAAAAACAGGAAAUGAAAUUGACAGGGUGUCGCCGUCGCCGUCGCCGCCGAUGAGUCCGAUGAUGGGAGGAGGAAUGCGACCGGAUUUAUCGGUAGCGUGUCAAGCGUUGAUGGAGGCUCAGGUAGAGGAGGUAGUUGAGAGAGAAUAUAAGGUUAGGAAUUCGUCGGAGAAAGAGAAAGGUGUUCCGGUGUUUGUUAUGAUGCCGUUGGAUAGUGUGAAAACGGAUCAUACUGUGAAUAGAAAAAAGGCGAUGAAUGCGAGUUUACAGGCGUUGAAAAGCGCCGGUGUGGAAGGGAUUAUGAUGGAUGUGUGGUGGGGAUUGGUGGAGAGAGAUGCACCGGGAGAGUAUAAUUGGGGCGGUUAUGCUGAGCUUAUGGAAAUGGCGAAAAAACAUGGACUCAAAGUUCAAGCUGUGAUGUCUUUCCAUCAAUGCGGUGGUAACGUCGGUGAUUCCUGCACGAUCCCUCUUCCGAGGUGGGUUGUUGAGGAGAUGGAGAAGGAUCCAGAUCUUGCAUACACAGAU
RNAcentral lists this unclassified non-coding RNA (748 nucleotides) under Hevea brasiliensis (rubber tree). The record is from RNAcentral. Lineage: Eukaryota; Viridiplantae; Streptophyta; Magnoliopsida; Malpighiales; Euphorbiaceae.